Selaginella moellendorffii is the source of this 1320-nucleotide RNA transcript. RefSeq lists it as uncharacterized. The record is from RefSeq and is a predicted model, not a curated record. The transcript has 8 exons. Lineage: Eukaryota; Viridiplantae; Streptophyta; Lycopodiopsida; Selaginellales; Selaginellaceae.
UAGAGAUUUUAGGGUUCUUCUGAAGGAGACUCGCCCCUGCCUAGGGCGCGAUGGCAUCUGUUAGGAGGAGCGCAUUUCUCGAUCGCAGCACCUGGCGUCUCCCCAGAGAGGGCGAGGGUGUGUAUGCCGAGGCGGAAGAGCGAGUGCGCGAGGCUUGCGCGGAUGGAAAGAUGAGCAAUCGUCGCCUUAAAAGAUGGGUGAAUGAUCGGCUACUUCGCGAGCUCGCUCCGCCUCUGGACUCGAUCGAGAUUGGCGGACUCUUCGCACCUCCUCCUUGGGGAGAGAGGAACUAUCAAACACCGCUGGAGAAAUUGACGGAAGGUGGAGGAGCAGCCAUGGCCGCCGCGUGGGAACCCUUUCGUGAUAACGUAGACAUGGAUUACCAGGCCGAUGUGUUGAGAAAACUUGAGAAGACCGGGAAACGUAAAGAAGCUGCGGCUCUUUGCGCAUGGCGAGCAGUGGAUCACAAUGCUCGCGAUGCACUAAAGCGGCUCUCCGAUUCGCCACUGCUUCCUAUUCUUGAGAACCAAUUGCUCGAAUUUGUGAGCGGGAGAGACGACGAGCUCGUACUGGAGAUGCCGGCACCGCACCACCGACUGCUUGUGCAUGGUCUCAGUCAAUUUCAUGGCUUGGCUUCGCAGUCGGAGCCAGCACCGCCACCACCCCGUGUACACAUCACCAAGAGAACAAAUUGCCGAAGCGAGGCAGCAAAAGAUUCUGGCUUGAACCUGAUGAAGUUCCUCCAGGACUGCAGGCAGCCUCCUGUAUUACCCCCGACUUCCAGAUUAUGAAGACCCAAGAAAACUUGGGAUGUAUCCAUACCAUGGUAAUGUUCCUUUCCCCUUCUGUAUUAUAUAUGACAAUGCUACUUACAUAUCGCUCUCGCUUUCAAGCAAGGAAAAUAUAUUCUCGUCUUGCUGGGCGCCGAGAACGCUCGCUACGAGUUCCUCGGGCAUGUUGAACGACAGCGCUAGAGUCUCCAUGUCAAGCUUGUCAAGAACCGAGCUCCUACCUGCUGGCCGUGCCCGUGAUACUCGUCCGAGACUGUGAAUCCGAGGAACUUGAGAGGGGCAUCUCUGGAAGAAAGCUCGCAGUUUGGAAAGUAUCGAGGCACCACGAAGAUGGUUCCCUCCUCCAGCCUCCUGUUUAGAGCAUUGGUGCCAUUCGGGUGCGCGAUCUGGAUUCUUCCAGUGCCAUUCGUUACGACGCCGACGACCAUGGCCUGGGGAUUCCAGUGCGGUGCCAAAAGUGCUCCCUGGACGGUGAAGAGAACGAAGAAAAAUCAGAUCUUUCCAAAGCUCUAGAUUGGACGCUUACGUU